Molecule: long non-coding RNA, 173 nt
Filed under: Homo sapiens (human)
Lineage: Eukaryota; Metazoa; Chordata; Mammalia; Primates; Hominidae
Description: long intergenic non-protein coding RNA 511
Source: RNAcentral
GGUGCAGUGAAUAAGCUGAGAUGGAGGACACAGGAGGGGUUCUGGUAUUUUUCCCUCUCCACCCUGGUCUUCUCCUGUAACGUGUGGCCGCCUUUUCCAGCACGGCCUCCUGCCUUCCUGGUGCACUUUUUGGAGAACGUGGUGGAAUCAGAGGUUUCUGGCUGACUCGGUGG